CCUACGGGAGGCAGCAGCAAGGAAUUUUGGGCAAUGGACGAAAGUCUGACCCAGCGACACCGCGUGAGGGAAUAAGGCCUUCGGGUUGUAAACCUCUUUUCUUGGGGAAGAAUCUCGACGGUACCCAAGGAAUAAGCCUCGGCCAACUACGUGCCAGCAGCCGCGGUAAUACGUAGGAGGCGAACGUUAUUCGGAUUUACUGGGCGUAAAGGGAGCGUAGGCGGUUCCUUAAGUCGGAUGUGAAAUCUUCUGACUCAAUCGGAAGGCGCCAUUUGAUACUGAGGGACUUGAGAGCAGCAGAGGGAAAUGGAAUCUCCAGUGUAGCGGUGAAAUGCGUAGAUAUUGGAGAGAACACCAGUGGCAAAGGCGGUUUCCCAGGCUGCUUCUGACGCUGAGGCUCGAAAGCGUGGGGAGCGAAGCGGAUUAGAUACCCGCGUAGUCCACGCCCUAAACGGUGGACACUAGAUAUGGGAGGUAUCGACCCUUUCUGUGUCGAAGCUAACGCUUUAAGUGUCCCGCCUGGGGAGUACGGCCGCAAGGCUGAAACUCAAAGAAUUGACGG
This 562-nucleotide ribosomal RNA is filed under the name uncultured bacterium. RNAcentral describes it as "bacterial SSU rRNA". It matches the Rfam family "Bacterial small subunit ribosomal RNA", at positions 338 to 916 of the family's 1533-position model. The record is from RNAcentral.